RNAcentral lists this ribosomal RNA (465 nucleotides) under Vreelandella stevensii. RNAcentral describes it as "partial 16S ribosomal RNA". It matches the Rfam family "Bacterial small subunit ribosomal RNA", at positions 338 to 795 of the family's 1533-position model. The record is from RNAcentral. Lineage: Bacteria; Pseudomonadati; Pseudomonadota; Gammaproteobacteria; Oceanospirillales; Halomonadaceae.
CCUACGGGGGGCUGCAGUGGGGAAUAUUGGACAAUGGGGGCAACCCUGAUCCAGCCAUGCCGCGUGUGUGAAGAAGGCCCUCGGGUUGUAAAGCACUUUCAGUGAGGAAGAACGCCUGGUGGUUAAUACCCAUCAGGAAAGACAUCACUCACAGAAGAAGCACCGUCUAACUCCGUGCCAGCAGCCGCGGUAAUACGGAGGGUGCGAGCGUUAAUCGGAAUUACUGGGCGUAAAGCGCGCGUAGGUGGCUUGAUAAGCCGGUUGUGAAAGCCCCGGGCUCAACCUGGGAACGGCAUCCGGAACUGUCAAGCUAGAGUGCAGGAGAGGAAGGUAGAAUUCCCGGUGUAGCGGUGAAAUGCGUAGAGAUCGGGAGGAAUACCAGUGGCGAAGGCGGCCUUCUGGACUGACACUGACACUGAGGUGCGAAAGCGUGGGUAGCAAACAGGAUUAGAUACCCGGGUAGUC